Molecule: ribosomal RNA, 312 nt
Filed under: uncultured fungus
Lineage: Eukaryota; Fungi
Description: SSU rRNA
Rfam family: Eukaryotic small subunit ribosomal RNA
Source: RNAcentral
UAACCUGCUAAAUAGCCCGUAUUGCUUUGGCAGUACGCCGGCUUCUUAGAGGGACUAUCGGCUCAAGCCGAUGGAAGUUUGAGGCAAUAACAGGUCUGUGAUGCCCUUAGAUGUUCUGGGCCGCACGCGCGCUACACUGACAGAGCCAGCGAGUACUCCCUUGGCCGGAAGGCCCGGGUAAUCUUGUUAAACUCUGUCGUGCUGGGGAUAGGGCAUUGCAAUUAUUGCCCUUCAACGAGGAAUCCCUAGUAAGCGCAAGUCAUCAGCUUGCGUUGAUUACGUCCCUGCCCUUUGUACACACCGCCCGUCGCU